GAUAUAAAUGUUUCGCCAUCACUAGAAAAUAUGAGACAGGAGAGAUGUUUAGCAAAAUUAGCAAGUCAACAAUACAUAUGAGACAAGGAUAUAGCAAGACACAUCUUCUAUGUCCAUACAAAUAGUUCCUAUAACACUUGCCGCAUUAUUGAAGUAAUCAAGAAAAUCAACAUUUACCAUAAGUUUACAUCAUUGUAAAAAGAAGAGUUAUGGGAAAAGCAUUGGAAGAAGAUGGGGCGAAGAUAAAAAUGAAUCAUCUGUUGGAGAUAUAGAGAACUAAAAAGAAACAUGCCUUGAAACCUUUCAUGUAAUAUUUUAUUAUAAUACAUGCAGAAAAGCCAAAUCUAAUAGAUGCAGAGUAAGAUCCACUAUUCUCAAAAGAAGAAAGGAAGGAAGAGGGAGGGGGGAGAGUGUGUGGGUGGUGGGGGGUUGUGUUUGUGUUGUAAAAUUCAAAAGCAAAUCCAACAUCCAUCGGUCCUUAAUGGGAACUAUAGCUCAAAAGACCAAUGACUUUUAUCUAUAUAAUUAUAUGUUGCUUCAAAUA
RNAcentral lists this unclassified non-coding RNA (544 nucleotides) under Hevea brasiliensis (rubber tree). Lineage: Eukaryota; Viridiplantae; Streptophyta; Magnoliopsida; Malpighiales; Euphorbiaceae. The record is from RNAcentral.